AAGUUCAUUUCAAUUUGGACCUCAGCCAAAUAAUUCGUUUAGGCCUUAUGUUUAAAAUGAAUUAAGUCCAUCCAUUUAGCUGUAACUUAGGCUUCAUACUUAAAUUAGAUUAAGUCCAAAAAUUAUUCUAAAAAUAUGGGAAUGCUCGUGGGGUUGAGUAUGCCAUGAUGGUAUAUCAAAUACCCUAAUUGAGCAACAUAUGAAAAGUUAUUUACAGAGUUGAGUAUGUGUUUAAAAUUAACGUUAAAUUAAUUGUUUCACAUUUAGGUGAGACGUUUCCGGAGGAUGAGCGUAGCUAGGCGAGACUCGGGGGUUACGACCCUGCUACAUACUAGUGAGUGGGCUUUUGGUUUUCUAUAUAUAUACGUAUAUAUGUUUUCCAUUUUCCCAGAAAUGGUUUUAAAUGGAUUUACAUUUUUAAAUGCCAUGUCAAUUGCAUUACAUUUUAGUAUAUGCAUUAGUAAAUAUAUGCAUAUUAUUGCUUGACGCUGCGAAUGCCCAGGUAAGCUUCAGGUGAGUACAUAUUGAUGAUAGUGAUUGCAAUAUGUAUGGUUAUGUUUAGAUGCAUUUAGUGCUCAUUAUCCUGCACCUCGGUGUUAGUGCUCCGCCUGAGGCCAGGGCUUAACCUGCACAUGAUCGUUCACCUCCCGCACCACACGCUCACCUUAGAUCUAAGGCAGGUGCCAGCCUGUCGUACAGACCACAUUAGGUGGUUCUGACACAUAGGUGACUUGCGAUACUUCGCACAACCUUCACGUGAUCGUAGCACUUGAGCGUAUCUAUUUACACCUAGCCUGUCGUAUAGACCACAUUAGGUGGUUCUGACUCGUGUGCAAGAAUUAGUAGAUGAGCUAUAGGCUCAGCCUUACAGGUCACGUUAGGUGACUUUGGCUGACAUAUCAUUUUACAUUGAUUUAUUUCACCUGGCUUACUUAUUUCAUUACUGAGAUACUUGACAUGGCAUAUAGUUGGUUUUCACUACUCUCGAGCAUGAUUUCCACAUACGUAUGUAUUACUACUUUCUAGGAAAUUAUACGGGUUUUAUGGUGAGGGGUUAUUAUUUUUGGAAAGUGAAAUGGUUUUAAAAAGCUUUGUUUUUGGCUACUCACGUUUUCUGUUUUGCACCCCUCCAAGUUCUAGUUAGACGUUCAUGUUGGUGGCUUACAAGGACUCUGCAGUGGUUCUAACAAACUUCAAAUAAUGUAGGGAUUUGUUUCAUGUCUUGUAUAAUUAAUACUUAGCCUGCUAGACUGCACUUAGGUUACCUAUGCUUUCAAUACUUGCAUUACUACUUUAAACACCUGAUGCGAAAAUUAACUUCACACCUGAUGCGAAAAUUAACUUAACACACAAAUUAAACCCUCUUGUUGUCAAAUUGUAGUAUAAAUGCAAGUAGGGUUCAUUCUAAACCGGGGAUUAGGAGGGCUUGCUAAAACCUCUAAACUGACUUAAAAACAUAUAAACAAAGUUAAACACUAAACUAGACUCAAAGAACUUAAAACAAACUCAAAGGACUCAAAAUAAGCUAAAAACGCUCAAAUCUGCCUAAAAACACAAACUGGGCAGAUUUGGACUCUAACACACUUUUGGAAUACCUAAAAACACAAAUCAAAACAGAUUUUGACUAAUAAAACAAUUUAAAGUAAAGGGGGUUUUGGUUUUGACGAAUUUGAAAACAAAACAAGUAAAUUAAAGAACUAAUGAAAUCUGCACGAAUUUGAGUAAAUUGAAUGGAUGGAAGGCUAGAUAGGAGGUUCUUCUCCACACAUGACAUACUUGCACAUAAACCAAUUUUCAGUUGUUCUUUCGAUCAAUCAUGAAACUCAACACCCCAGGUUAAUUAAGUCCGCUUAAAUUAACCUUCAAGUUCUCCUUAAGUUAUUGAAUUGGAUGGGAAAUCGCAUACAACAAUUCAAGCAUUCUUCAAAAGUUCUUUAUGUGAACAACACAAUAAAGAUACAAUCAAAGAUCAUUAAGCAUUAUGAAAACUAUAAGUAUUGACGAGGUAUUCGUUACUAUGAUGAGCAUGAAACUCCUGCCAAGAAUUUAUUUAACGCGAUCGUUUAUAUGCGACCUCCACUACUUGUGAAUAUAAGUUUCUAACUAUUAGGUGAAACUCCCUUAUGCUCUAGCAUCAUAUUCAUGCAUGCAAACUAAGUGUGCACUCUUAAUAAACAUACACGAAUAAGUUAUCAAUCAAGCAGUUAAGCAAAUUGAAUUAACAACUUAUGAAAUCACAACUGAAGGUAAUCAAAUCAUAUUGCCAGCAUGAACAUGGUUUCGAAUUCCCCCCUAGCUAAGGGGGAUUUAGUUCCUCAUACUCACAAAGCAAAGAUAAACAAAUUUAGACAUUGAAAACAAAAGUAUGAAAACACCUAAAAACGCUCCAACAAUCCAACUUGAAUGGCAAGCAUGUCCAAAGGUCCUCCUUCUUCUCUUUGUUGCGGCACAAGGUGUGGUUUGAUGGAUGAGUGGUAAAUUAUGGUGGUGGAUGGAUAUAGGUGAGUUAUGGUGAAGGGUGGAUGGGUGGAUUGUGUUCUAUUUUUGGUUGGAUGAGUGCCACAGCAAGGGAAUGGAAUUGUAUGUGUUUGUGGGAUGUGGGAAUAUAUGGAUGAAUGUAAGGUCUUUUCUAAUCGAUCCUAGUUAUGGUGAAGGGUGGAUGUAUUUAUAGGCUAGGGAGAGGAGUGUAUGGAGUUGUAAUGAGUGGAUGUAGUGGUAGGUGAAUGUGUUGGGUGGAAUGAGUGGAUGUAGUGGUAGGUGAAUGGAUGUGUUGGGUGAAAUGAGUGGAUGUAGUGGUAGGUGAAUGGAUGUGUUGGGUGGAUGUAGUGGUAGGUGAAUGUGUUGGGUGAAAUGAGUGUGCUAAAAUGGUUAUUUAUAGGGAGAGGAUGAUGCACAAACUUCAAAUUUCGUCCAUUCCUUUUGCUCCAAGCAUAUGCUAUCCAUUCCAUGCCCAAAAAUGCUCCAAAAUGCACUUCUUUGCCACAUUAACCCUUUGGACCUACAAACACACGAAAAUAGCUUAAAAUACUAAAAUAACUACAAACUAACAACAUAAAUGCCAAGAAACAAGCUAACUAAGUCGCAUAAAUAUGCUUCUAUCAACACCUAUGCACACUUUUAUAGUUAUCUUAGUGUAAAUUAGUUAGUUUUGGUUUUUAAUUACUCACAUUUUCGUAUCACUUCCGCUCUGCGCUCAUGGCUACGUCACCCUCACGUGAUAGCCAGCUUGCCUCGAUUACGGUCGGCCUGCAUAUUUGGUGAGUAUUCUAAUCAUUUUGAUGUCUUAUGUCAGAACCAUGCCGCCUCGUAGAGGGCCAUAUACUUAUUCUGAGUCUAAUUUCCCAAAUAUUGCCUAACUUGGUGAAGCUAUUGCUAAUGUUAUUCAAUCAUCGCUACGUCCUCCCCAGAGAACCCCUUUGGAGAUUGUAUAUAACUUAAAGUUAAAUAAUUUUGUUGGUACUCAGGGAGCUGAGCGUUAGCUCAAUCAUGUUGAGAAAACCUAUCGAGUGAUACAGCGACAUAGGAAUUUCCCUGAGGAUAUAUAGGUCGAGACGACCACUUGGUUUUUGGGUGAGGAGGCUGCAUCCUGGUGGAGGCAGGAAUCUUUUCAGUUGUCAUCAGAAAAAGCUGCAGAUUGGGAGGUUUUUAAGCAUCUAUUCCAGAAGAGAUUUGUACCUCCAGAGUAUUUGGAUCGUAAGAAGGAAGAAUUCUCACAUUUGAAACAGGGGAAAAUGUUAGCUAAUGAGUACCAUAGAAAGUUUACUAAUUUGUCCUGAUAUUGUCCAGAGAUUGCUGAAAAUCCUGCUGAAAUGCUUGACGAUUUAAGUGGGGUACUCGAAAGAAAUGGCGUUCUAUGGCGACUAUAACUCCCUUUUCUACAUAUCAGGAGUUUUAUAAUUUCUACUUCGAGUUAAAGACUCUGAGAAUGCUCCAGAUAACAGUGAGGAGGAAGAAGAAAAAGAUAAUAGCCAGAAGAAAAAUAAUAAUAAAGAUAAAAGCCAAUCAUCACAAGGACCUUGCAAGACGCAGAGUUUUAAGAGAAGUGGUACUAAUUCUAGUUCUUCUAGUGGGGGCUCGAGUUCCACUGUGCCUCGGAGGGGCGGCCGUUCAUGAGGUUCCCUCUUUCAGAGGCAGAGAGAUUUUAGUGGUUUUGGUAGUCCAUUUGCCGUAGAUGUAAUAGUCGACAUUUUGGGGAAUGUAGACAGGGUAACAGAGGAUGUUUUGUUUGUGGUCAGACGGGACACCGGGCUAAUCAGUGCCCACAGAGCCAGCAGAAGCCCCAGCCACCUUCCUUGCCACCACCAGUUCCUAUUUAGCAAGUCUCACGGUCUAGUGGUUAUACCCUGAUGGGUAAUGGGGGUGCAUAUCAUUAUCAGAAAAUAUAGCUCCAUAUCAUGGAGGACCUUAUCAGUACCCACACGAUUCAUAUCACCAGGGUGGUUACGCUCUGCACCUAGGAGGUUACACGCCAUAUCCACCAUAUCCAGGUGGUGGAUCAUAGUGGUAUCCGGAAGGGUAGUCCUAGAACGUUGAGGCUGCUUCUAGCAGUGCUGGGUCAACUAGGCAGCCUAAUCAGCUUGGUCAAGGAUGUGGUUUGCAGAGACGUGGAAAUCAAGCUAACAGAGGUCAUGGAGGACGGCAACAGCCAUAAUUUCAUGUUCAUCACAUUACUCUGCAGGAUGCGUAGAGUAAUCCUGAUCUUAUUAUGGGUACGUUGAAUAUUCUUGGCCAUUUUGCUAGAGUAUUAAUUGAUUCUGGUGCCACACAGUCUGUUAUUUCUCAUACGUUUGCUCAAAAGAUGCAACCCUACCCUACACUUCUUGGUUAUGAAUUAGAAUUUUCUAUGCUUAGGGGUGAGACAUGUUAUGUUAGCUGGGCAUAUCAAGGAUGUCCUAUUCUGGUAGAGGACAUCGUUAUGCCAGCUAAUCUUGUUCCAUUAGAUAUUGUUGAUUUCGAUGUUAUUCUAGGCAUGGAUUGGUUACAUUACAAUCGUGCCAAAUUGGAUUGUUAUGAGAAGACAUUCACUUUCCAUCGGUCGGGCUUGCCUGUGGUUACCUUUGUGAGUGUUCGUAAUGGACUGAAACAUGACGCUAUUUCUGCCGUGAGGGCUAGAUGGCUAAUGAAAAGGUUGUCAGGUUUAUUUGGCUCACGUGGUAUUAAAUGAGGAUACUCCUAUCCGUGUGAAGGAUGUACAGGUAGUUAGGCACUUCCCUGAUGUUUUCCCUAACGAUUUACUUGGAUUACCACCAGAUAGAGAAAUAGAGUUCACUAUUGAUUUACUUCUAGGUACAUAUCCUAUUUCCUUAACUCCUUAUCAAAUGGCUCCUAUUGAGUUGAGGGAAUUGACCCAGUUGCAGGAAUUAGUUGAUAAGGGUUUCAUUUAGCCUGGUACUUUACCUUGGGGAGCUCCAGUUUUAUUUGUACGGAAGAAGGACGGGACUUUGAGGCUGUGUCUCGAUUAUCGACAGUUGAAUCAGGUAACGAUUAAAAACCAUUAUUGCCUCGUAUUGACGAUCUGUUUUACUAGCUUUGAGGUGCUUGCGUGUUCUCCAAGAUUGAUUUGAGAUCUGGGUAUUAUCAGUUGAAGAUCAGGUGUGAGGAUGUCUCGAAGACAGCGUUUCAGACUCGUUAUGGUCAUUAUGAGUUCCUUGUGAUGCCAUUUGGGUUAACGAAUGCUCCAAUAGCCUUUAUGGAUUUGAUGAAUCAGGUAUUUCACCCGUAUCUUGACAGGUUUGUUAUUGUUUUCAUUGAUGAUAUUUUGGUAUAUUCUAAAUCUAAGGCGGAGCAUACUAGACAUCUCACUCUGGUUUUGAAAAAAUUGAGGGAACACCAGCUAUAUGCUAAGUUUAGUAAAUGCCAAUUCUGGCUGAAUCAAGCGUCGUUCUUAAGACAUGUGAUAACAACUUAGGGUAUUCUGGUGGAACCACAGAAAGUAAUUGCACUUCAAAAUUAGGAGCAGCCGUCACCGAGGUACGGAGUUUUCUCUACUUAGCAGAUUAUUACCAACAAUUUGUGAAAGAUUUUUCAACCAUAGCUUUACCACUGACGAGGUUGACCAGAAAAGAUGUUAAAUUCGAGUGGGAUGAUGAUUAUGAGUGGAGUUUCCAGCAGCUAAAGUAUUGUCUCACUCAUACACUUGUUUUGGCACUUCCAGACGACAUUGGUAAUUUUGAGAUUUACAAUGAUGCUUUUUUGAAUGGUUUAGGCUGUGUGUUAAUGCAGCAUGGCAGGGUAAUCGCGUAUGCUUCGUGACAGUUGAAACCUCACGAGAUGAAUUACCCCACACAUGAUCUUGAGCUAGCAACUAAUAUUUUUGCCCUGAAGAUUUGGAGGCAUUAUUUAUAUGGAGAAAAGUGUAAGAUUUUCACAGAUCAUAAAAGCUUCAAGUACAUUUUCGCCCAGAAAGAUCUUAACCUUUGGCAACGAAGGUGGAUAGAAUUGCUCAAUGAUUAUGAUUGCACAAUUGAGUAUCACCUUGGUCGUGGAAACACAGUGGCAGACGCACUUAGUAGGAAAUCACAUGGAUGUAUCCCUCUUCUCACAAAAUUAGGAUCUACUGGAGUUGAUUUGGGAGUGGAGGAUCGGGAGGUAGCAUUACUCGCAAGUUUUUGAGUUAGACCAAUUUUGAUAGAUCGUGUACUCGAGGCUCAAAUGAAUGAUGAGGAAUCUCAAGAGUUUAUUCAGGCAGUUUCAGAAGGGAAAAAGAAAGAUCUUAGAAUUCGGGAAUUUGAUGGCAUGUUUAUGCAGGGAAGUCGGAUGUACGUGCGAAAUAUUGCAGAACUAAAGAAAGAUAUACUCGAUUAGGCACAUAUAUCGGCCUAUGCGAUGCAUCAUGGGAGUACCAAGAUGUAUCACACUAUUCGACCUUUCUAAUAUUGGCCUAGCAUGAAAAGAAAGAUUGCUGAAUAUAUGAGUCAAUGUGCAAUUUGUCAGCAAGUCAAAGCUGAGAGGAAGAAGCCUUUUGGAUUAAUGUAGCCACUUCCCGUUCCCCAAUGAAAAUGGGAAAAUAUUACCAUGGAUUUCGUAUAAAAGCUUCCUCGUACGUGAAAUGGCUACAAUGGCAUCUGGGUGAUAGUGGAUCGGCUUACCAAGUCAGCAUAUUUUAUACCAGUUCAAGAAAACUAUUCUUUAAGUCGAUUAGUUGAGCUAUUUAUAUCAGAGAUUGUUAAAUACCAUGGGGUUUCGGUUAAUAUUAUUUCUGAUCGGGAUCCUAGGUUUACUUCUAAGUUUUGGGUGGCUUUCAAGGAAGUUCUUGGUUUGAGAUUGCUUUAUAGUACGACGUAUCAUCCACAGACAGAUGGGCAAUCCGAGAGAACUAUCCAGACACUAGAAGUUGAGAUCUUCAGUACUACAGUUUGGCGACGCUUGGCAUAAGCGUUUGGAUUUGAUGAAGUUUGCCUACAAUAACAGCUACCAUUCUAGCAUCGAUAUGUCACCUUUCGAGGCACUUUAUGGUAAGUCAUGUCGUACUCCUCUAUGUUGGUCAGAAGUUGGUGAGUUGGUGUUAGUGGGCCCUGAGAUUGUUGAUGACACUACCCAAAAUAUUCAUGUAAUUAAAGCUAACUUGAAAGUGGCCCAAGAUCGACAUAAGGGUCUUGCCGAUAAAGAUGCCACUGAUAGAGUAUAUAACGUUGGAGAGUGGGUAUUUCUGAAGCUAUCUCCGUGGAAAGGCGUGUUGGAAAUGUGCCCUAAAACCAAUCAUAUGAUGAUACUUUACGGACAUUUCACAUGUUAAACUAAUCUAGUUUAAUAUCAAGGGCAAAGAUUAUUGUUUGAGCCGUCUCAUAUAAAUGUUAUAUGCUUAAACAAUAAGUCCAAGGAAUUUUUGAUUGGGAGAAUGCAAUCUAAAGAAGUUAGAUUCAUGAGACCAUUCUUUCGUAGACACAUCCUAAACGUUCCUGAUCAUAGGAUUGCCAAUUGGGCAUUGACAGUCCGUUAAGAUCAGUACGUGUUGUGUCUUCUCAGGGAGAGUGACUAGUCUCGAGUCAUUGGUGUGUAUGACAUCAAGACAAGUACGUAGGUGCUCAAUAGAGAAUGAGUUCACUGAACACGACCAACGAAGAGUUCUCAUAUUCAUGUCACAUGAGAACUCCUGGUUGGGAUAAUGCAAAGUAGUCCUUUGACCUGAGGCAUCAUAGUUGUCUUGUGGUUAAGUCCUUGAUCUUUGAUUAUGUCAAAAGUCACUCCAAAAGGAGGGUGUCCACGGCAUAGUUGGGGUUAAGCCACUUAGCUAUGGAGGCAAGUGAAUGUGCAACAAGGGAUCUCUAACCUUCAAACCGUUUGGGGGAGAAUACUCUAUGAUAUGAUUAAGAAUCUCUGGCCAGAGUAUGAAUGAGAUUUAGGAAAGUCGUUCCAAAUCACAUUCAAGGUAAUCAUAUAAGCACACGAAUCACAUUGGAUAGUAGACAUGACCAAACAAUGUGGUCAAGAGUAUUGUAUUAGAGAAAGACCGUAUUGCAUUUGUAAUCCUAAACUGAGUAGGUUCUCUACCUCUUCUGAUUAGCUUGGGUAACCAUGAUAUGGUGCUAGGUGUCACUCUUGGUUUGUGGAAGCCCUAAACGUGUAUAAACACUAAAGGGAGAAUUGAAAGUAAGUUUCAAUUCACAAUCGAUUUGAAAGAGUUUUAAUCGCCCACUGCCUCGCUAAAAGGAACCUAAUGGAUCGUACACCGUGUAAGGUGGAGAUUGAAGAAACAAUGGAGAUGAGUAAGAAUAAUUAAAUGGUUUAAUUAUUUAUGGUACGGAUUAAUUAAUAUGUUAAUUAAUCAAACGAAUAAGUUCGUUAAAGACCUCGGGAUAGUUUUGGACCUUAAGGCCCAAUGGGCUUCGAACGUCAAGCCCAUUGACUUAAGUUGUAUGACAAUUUAAUAAAUAAAGAUUCACAAAGGCCCAAAAGCCCAAAUCCCUUAUGUGGCCGGCCAUGUGUGUGUUGAAUUAGGGUUUUUGGUUCUUUAGGUCAUUUAAAGAAGUGACUAUAUAAAGAACUUUAUAGCCUAAAAUUUAUUAAGGGUUUCUUUUAGGAAAUUGGAGAGAACACAAAGCUCUCCUUUCUCUCUAAAGAGGCCGGCCCCCUUGGAGGGAUUAGCUAGCAAUCCCACUCCUCCAAGGCCACUCAUUUCUUCUCCAAUCUAACCUUGGUGUAGACACUUAGAGGUUCUCAAUUUUGGGAACUUGGAGAACCAUAUUCUUCCAUCCAAAUCCAUGGAUCUAAGAAGCAAGGAAUGAAGGCCCUCUCUUUGGGUGAUUAGCCUUUGCUUAUGCAAAGAGGAAUCUACAAAGAUAUAAAUUUCAACUCACUUUGUUUUGAGUUGAGUCUUGGUUCACCAAUCUACUAGGCUUUGAAUUUCAUGGGUAAUGUUUUGUUUUUGAGUGCAUGCAAGCAUGAUUCCGCCUUUAAUUGUUAAUUGCAUGCUUAUAGAUGUUGCUCAAAUGAACAUGUUUUCUCAAAAUCAUUCUUCAAGGCGUAGUACGGUUCGGUAAGAAAGGUAAGUUAAGUUCUCGCUACCGUAAUAGAUCACCAAACGAAUCGGUGAAGUUUCCUACAAACUUAAGUUACCCCCAGAGCUAUCAAAGGUGCACGGCAUUUUUCAUGUCUCAAUGCUUUAUCAUUAUGUCUCUUACCCAUCACAUGUGAUACCUCCUCAACCACUAGAAAUUAAUCCAGACUUGACAUAUGACGAGGAGCCAGUGACGAUUUUAGAUUGGAAUGAUGAGGUUCUUAGGAACAAAACUAUGCGCAUGGUGAAAGUUUUGUGGAGGAACCAUUCAGUGGAGGAAGCCACUUAGGAGAUGGAGGAUGGUAUGCAAGAUUUAUAUCCACACCUAUUUUAUGGAUAUUAAUAUCUAUUAUGCUAGUAUACAGAAAUUUCGGGGACGAAAUUUUCUUAAGGGGGUAAGUUGUGACUGACUUGUCUCGAAUAAAUAUAUAUUUUCUCCCCGUAUGUGUGAAAAUGACGAUUAUGCCCUUGUUGGCUUGGUGACGUGGAUGUACGUACAUAGUUUUAAAUUAUUUUCUCGCUCACGAAAUUAAAUGGUGCUCGACGUCAUGGGCACAUCGACCUAAAUUAAGAACGAGAAUGGGCAAAAUUCUAUUUUUGGAUUGGUUUAUUUCUUCUUUGGACCUAUUUUUUUAGGGCUUAAACUCUAUGACCCAAUCAAGGGCCUUAUUAUUUUUCCCUUCCUACCCGUGCCUCCCCUCACUCCAGAAACUUCCUUUCUCUCCCUCACACUCUCCCGCACUUCUCCCUCUCUCGGUGCUCUCGUCCCCGACACAACACACACGCACAUACAUACUUGCACACACUGCAACUAUCAAGACUUCUCCUUUUCUCCCUCAUAUCCCAUACUCACCCCUCCUCACCCUUUAAUAUUUUGUAGUCUCCGUGUGGUAACUCCGGCGAGAUCUCUAAGCACCUUAGACUGUUAUAAAAUUGUGUUAGGUUAGAUAAGGGUGUCUUAAGACAUUUUGGAAUGGUGUGGAUGCAGAAUCCUUGGGGAAAAUACAUUUCUUAAAUUUUCCGGUGAGUGAUCAUGAGUUUUAAGGAUUUUCCGACCGAUCGCGACGGCAACGCCACUCCACCUUGGUAAGGCUGAAAUCCUUACUCCUUGGUCUUCAUUUUGGCUUUUGAAUGAAGGUUUUUGUUUGAGUUAUGACCCCAAAUCAGAACCGAGGAAGUUUUCCGACAAGAACACCCAAAAUCCGGUGUUCUUCUUCAUAUAUUUUCCGGCGGGCCACAAUAUGUUUUGGGCCAAUUCGUCCUAGCCCAAUGAAGAGCCCAUUGUUUUAGCUUUGUAAAUUAGAACCCAAAUUUUAAGUCCCAAUUUAGUGGGCUGUGUGGUCAGCCCAAACCCAAGCCCAUUUCGAAAAAGAUAAAAAAAAAAAAAAAAAUAUAAAUAAUCUGUUAGGCCAACCCAACCUUUAAGUGCCUUUCAAUUUGGACCUAAGCCAUUUAAUUGGUUUAGGCCUUAUGUUUAAAAUGAAUUAAGUCCAUUUAGUUGUAAUUUAGGCUUCAUACUUAAAUUAGAUUAAGUCCAAAAAUUAAUCUAAAAAUAUGGGAAUGCUCGUGGUGUUGAGUAGGCCACAAUGGUAUAUUCAAAUACCACAAUUGAGCAACAUAUGAGAAGUUAUUUAAAAAGUUGAGUAUGUGUUUAAAAUUAAUGUUAAAUUAGUUGUUUCACAUUUAGGUGAGACGUUUCCAGAGGAUGAGCGUAGCCACCCUAGACUUGGGGGUUACGAUCCUGCUACAUACUAGUGAGUGGGCUUUUGGUUUUCUAUAUAUAUAUGUAUAUAUGCUUUCCAUUUUCCUAGAAAUGGUUUUAAAUGGAUUUAUGUUUUUAAAU
RNAcentral lists this long non-coding RNA (11339 nucleotides) under Malus domestica (apple). Its description in RNAcentral is "long non-coding RNA (MDOM_LNC002934)". Lineage: Eukaryota; Viridiplantae; Streptophyta; Magnoliopsida; Rosales; Rosaceae. The record is from RNAcentral.